AGUGAACGCUGGCGGUAGGCCUAACACAUGCUAGUCGAACGGCAGCACAGUAAGAGCUUGCUCUUACGGGUGGCGAGUGGCGGACGGGUGAGGAAUACAUCGGAAUCUACUUUUUCGUGGGGGAUAACGUAGGGAAACUUACGCUAAUUCCGCAUACGACCUACGGGUGAAAGCAGGGGAUCUUCGGACCUUGCGCGAUUGAAUGAGCCGAUGUCGGAUUAGCUAGUUGGCGGGGUAAAGGCCCACCAAGGCGACGAUCCGUAGCUGGUCUGAGAGGAUGAUCAGCCACACUGGAACUGAGACACGGUCCAGACUCCUACGGGAGGCAGCAGUGGGGAAUAUUGGACAAUGGGCGCAAGCCUGAUCCAGCCAUACCGCGUGGGUGAAGAAGGCCUUCGGGUUGUAAAGCCCUUUUGUUGGGAAAGAAAAGCAGCAGGUUAAUACCCCGCUGUUCUGACGGUACCCAAAGAAUAAGCACCGGCUAACUUCGUG
Molecule: ribosomal RNA, 492 nt
Filed under: uncultured bacterium
Lineage: Bacteria
Description: partial 16S ribosomal RNA
Rfam family: Bacterial small subunit ribosomal RNA
Source: RNAcentral